AUGCAAGCAUGUUCCUUAUUACUUGGUAGACCAUGGCAAUUUUAUAAAAAUUCUGUACACCAUGGUAGAAACAAUCACUAUACUCUUGUUCAUAAGGAUAAAAAUAUUACUUUGCUUCCUAUGACUCCUGAUUCCAUUUUGAAAGAUGAUAUUAAUAGAGCUAAUAAAGCAAAACAGGAGAAGAAUAAGAGUGAAAAUCAGAUUGUGGCAAAAGAAUUUGAGCAACAAAUGAAGCCUAAUAAUAAACCAUCUAGUGUUGCUUCUGAAAUUAAAUUGAAAAGUGCAUGUUUAUUUGCCACCAAAUCUGAUAUUGAUGAGCUAGAUUUCAGCAAAUCUAUUUGCUAUGCUUUUGUGUGCAAAGAGGCAUUAUUUUCAUUCGAGGACGUGCCUUCCUCUUUGCCUCCUGCUGUCACUAACAUUUUGCAGGAGUUCGCUGACGUUUUUCCACAAGACGUGCCACCGGGAUUACCGCCUAUUCGAGGGAUUGAGCAUCAGAUUGACUUAAUUCCCGGCGCUUCACUGCCAAACCGUGCACCAUACCGUACCAAUCCAGAGGAGACGAAGGAGAUUAUGCGUCAAGUACAAGAGCUUCUCGACAAAGGUUAUAUACGCGAAUCCCUUAGUCCUUGUGCUGUUCCUAUUAUUCUAGUGCAGAAAAAGGAUGGUACAUCGCGUAUGUGUGUUGAUUGUAGAGGCAUUAAUAAUAUUACUAUUCGUUAUCGUCAUCCUAUUCCUAGGCUAGAUGAUAUGCUUGAUGAAUUGAGUGGCUCUACAAUAUUCUCCAAAGUUGAUUUGCGUAGUAGAUACCAUCAAAGUCGUAUGAAAUUGGGGGAUGAAUGGAAAACAGCAUUUAAAACUAAGUUUGGAUUAUAUGAGUGGUUAGUCAUGCCUUUUGGGUUAACUAAUGCGCCUAGUACUUUCAUGAGACUAAUGAACGAAGUUUUACGUGCUUUCAUUGGACGAUUUGUGGUAGUCUAUUUUGAUGAUAUACUGAUUUAUAGCAGAUCUUUGGAAGAACAUUUGGAACAUUUACGUGCUGUUUUUAUUGCUCUACGUGAUGCACGUUUGUUUGGUAACCUUGGGAAGUGCACCUUUUGCACCGACCGAGUAUCUUUUCUUGGCUAUGUUGUUACUCCAUAG
This 1140-nucleotide ribosomal RNA is filed under the name Triticum aestivum (bread wheat). RNAcentral's name for it is "partial small subunit ribosomal RNA". Lineage: Eukaryota; Viridiplantae; Streptophyta; Magnoliopsida; Poales; Poaceae. The record is from RNAcentral.